RNAcentral lists this ribosomal RNA (432 nucleotides) under uncultured bacterium. Its description in RNAcentral is "partial 16S ribosomal RNA". It matches the Rfam family "Bacterial small subunit ribosomal RNA", at positions 29 to 507 of the family's 1533-position model. The record is from RNAcentral.
ACGAACGCUGGCGGCAUGCCUAACACCUGCAAGUCGCACGAAGGCUUCGGCCUUAGUGGCGCACGGGUGCGUAACGCGUGGGAAUCUGCCCUUUGGUUCGGAAUAACAGCUGGAAACGGCUGCUAAUACCGGAUGAUGACGAAAGUCCAAAGAUUUAUCGCCAGAGGAUGAGCCCGCGUUGGAUUAGGUAGUUGGUGGGGUAAAGGCCUACCAAGCCGACGAUCCAUAGCUGGUCUGAGAGGAUGAUCAGCCACACUGGGACUGAGACACGGCCCAGACUCCUACGGGAGGCAGCAGUGGGGAAUAUUGGACAAUGGGCGCAAGCCUGAUCCAGCAAUGCCGCGUGAGUGAUGAAGGCCCUAGGGUUGUAAAGCUCUUUUACCCGGGAAGAUAAUGACUGUACCGGGAGAAUAAGCCCCGGCUAACUCCGUG